UGAGGAGUCCCACAACAGGACGAAACGGCCGUC
Molecule: non-coding RNA, 33 nt
Organism: Schistosoma mansoni
Lineage: Eukaryota; Metazoa; Platyhelminthes; Trematoda; Strigeidida; Schistosomatidae
Source: Rfam